This 456-nucleotide long non-coding RNA is filed under the name Linum usitatissimum (flax). Its description in RNAcentral is "long non-coding RNA (LUSI_LNC006432)". The record is from RNAcentral. Lineage: Eukaryota; Viridiplantae; Streptophyta; Magnoliopsida; Malpighiales; Linaceae.
AAAGGAAUAACCAGUUAGUUAGAUAGCCGGCUGUUAUUCCCAAUUUCGCUCGGCUGCCCUCUUCUUCCUUCCACGUCUCUUCCUCUGCCGUAGCCGAAUAUUCUCCAGUUUCCACCAGUUUCAAUCAAUCAACUGGAAGCGUCUGGGGCUUAGCGUAAUUCUACUGCCAGCAAUUGUUAUCAUCUCUCAUGGAGUCCGCUAUACCUACCUCGACGACGGCCGCCGGUGGAGGAGGAGGAGUAGGUACGGCUCCUUUCCUGAUAAAGACGUAUGACAUGGUGGAUGACAUGUCCACCGACGACAUCGUGUCCUGGAGCUCCUCCAACAACAGCUUCGUCGUCUGGGAUCCUCCCGAAUUCGCCCGACGCCUCCUUACUGCAUUCGCCCGACGCCUUCUUCCUGCCUACUUCAAGCACAACAAUUUCUCCAGCUUCAUCCGCCAAUUGAACACUUAUG